AGAGCGAACGCUGGCGGCAGGCCUAACACAUGCAAGUCGAGCGGCCGUAGCAAUACGGCAGCGGCAGACGGGAGAGUAACACGUGGGAACGCGCCCUUCGGUUCGGAAUAACUCAGGGAAACUUGAGCUAAUACCGAAUACGCCCUUACGGGGAAAGAUUUAUUGCCGAAGGAACGGCCCGCGUCCGAUUAGCUAGUUGGUGAGGUAAUGGCUCACCAAGGCGACGAUCGGUAGCUGGUCUGAGAGGAUGACCAGCCUCACUGGGACUGAGACACGGCCCAGACUCCUACGGGAGGCAGCAGUGGGGAAUAUUGGACAAUGGGCGCAAGCCUGAUCCAGCCAUGCCGCGUGGAUGAUGAAGGCCUUAGGGUUGUAAACCCCUUUCAGCAGGGACGAAGCGAAAGUGACGGUACCUGCAGAAGAAGCGCCGGCUAACUACGCGCCAGCAGCCGC
This 453-nucleotide ribosomal RNA is filed under the name uncultured bacterium. Its description in RNAcentral is "SSU rRNA". It matches the Rfam family "Bacterial small subunit ribosomal RNA", at positions 26 to 518 of the family's 1533-position model. The record is from RNAcentral.